This 49-nucleotide transfer RNA is filed under the name Erica densifolia. RNAcentral describes it as "partial tRNA-Leu". The record is from RNAcentral. Lineage: Eukaryota; Viridiplantae; Streptophyta; Magnoliopsida; Ericales; Ericaceae.
AAAUCCGUCGACUUUAGAAAUCGUGAGGGUUCAAGUCCCNNUAUCCCCA